CCGGUCGAUUUGGGAGAGACCGGGUGACGCCCGGCGCCGAAGGAGCAACCGCCCCGGAAACUCUCAGGCAGAAGGACCAGAUCGACGAC
This 89-nucleotide non-coding RNA is filed under the name Sphingomonas sp. 8AM. Its description in RNAcentral is "Glycine". It matches the Rfam family "Glycine riboswitch aptamer". Rfam says of the family: This family represents the bacterial glycine riboswitch. The record is from RNAcentral. Lineage: Bacteria; Pseudomonadati; Pseudomonadota; Alphaproteobacteria; Sphingomonadales; Sphingomonadaceae.